This 87-nucleotide transfer RNA is filed under the name Microbispora amethystogenes. RNAcentral's name for it is "tRNA-Pro". The record is from RNAcentral. Lineage: Bacteria; Bacillati; Actinomycetota; Actinomycetes; Streptosporangiales; Streptosporangiaceae.
GGCGAGAUAGGCCGCGCGCAGGCCCGAGGCGUCCGGGUCGCCGUCGGCGGCCACCCAGUCGCGGUAGUGCGACUCGACCUCCCGCAG